RNAcentral lists this long non-coding RNA (3137 nucleotides) under Panax ginseng (ginseng). RNAcentral describes it as "long non-coding RNA (PGIN_LNC010493)". The record is from RNAcentral. Lineage: Eukaryota; Viridiplantae; Streptophyta; Magnoliopsida; Apiales; Araliaceae.
CGACAGUAAAGAAUUAACAUAAAGAUUUACGUGGUUUCUCAAUUUGGAUACGUCCACGGGAGCGGCGAGAGAAAUUGUUUUUAUUUAUGAUCUUAGUACAUAGGGUUUUUACAAUAGAGAUUACAUAUAACUGCUACUUCUAUUCCAACUCUAAUUCACCUUAUAACUUAAAUACCCAUAAUGCCCUUGUAACACCAUAUCAUAGGGCUACGCCCCCCAAAAUCUUCGGUCCAAACCUGAUGGGUGCGUCGUGAAACUCUGCUCCGCACUUGGCCUAUUUCGAGAACUUCUCAGUUACGAACCACAAGUUCCGACAUAAACAAAAUACUUCAAGAGCUUCCUCUAAAUGCUAGCUUCAGAAGUACAAUAAAAAGCCCUGUGAUUGCUUUAGAUUAGAAUGAAAGUCAAGGUAACUCCAGUGUAGAGAGAGAGAGAGAGAGAGAGAGAGAUCUUACAUUUACAUCAAUCAUUCAAUAUUUUUAUUGCUUUGAACUCCACUUCCCACGUUACCCAACUCUGAAAGAUCCCUCCCAACUGAAAGAGAAGCAAGAUUUCUUCUCUAUCAUUUCACCUGCCAAAAAGAAAGAAAACCAAAACAUAAUCUAACAUUGUCUCCAACUGGGCAAAUAGUUUCUCAAAUUAGCUAGGAACCAAAAAGAGUUCAUAAGUACUUUGGGUUUGAUUUGCAUGUACUUUGAACUAACAUUACAACAUGGCAACAAAGUUGGACUUUGCACAGAAGCUGCUAAACGAUCUCCGGCUGAAAAAAGAACGAAUGGCUGCAUCUCAAAGCUCAAGCAAUUCAAAUAUGAUGGCAAGAGGUUAAGUGUCUUACAUAUACAUGCAUCCAGAUAAUACGUAAUUAGUAAAUGACAAGAAACUGAAAUUUUAAAUGUUCAGACAAAAAUCUAUCAACUUAAUUUCAAACCUUGAAUAUUAAUGUUUAAUCCAACUGAAUAUUAAUCGAGUUCUUUUUUAGUCUGUUUUAAUGUUUAAUGUAGCAAUAUGAAUUUAAUGUUUUCCUAGAAAAAAUUGUGCCAUGAAACUAGCUAGGGAAAUUGUCAUUUUAGUGAUCUUGCAUAUGAAUUCUUAGGUUCAAAAUAUAUCCUCAAUCUUUGCAGGAGUAUACAUACUUUUUAUCUACCUUAAUAGUCUAUCCAAUUUCCCCAUUUUUGCUUUCCAAAAAGAAAUUGAAAAACAAGCCAUUCCACCUAUAGAGCAAAGUAGUUUACCCAUAUAGGCGCAUAAAGAUUAUUUUUACUCCUGAUUCUAUUAAAACUACUUUAAUUUAGAGUUUUAGGCAUCACUGGCUAGUAUAUAAUAUAUAUAUAUAUAUAUGUGUGUGUGUGUGUGUGUGUGUGUGUGUGUGUGUGUGUGUGUGUGUGUGUGUAUGUGAAUGAUGCAUAACAAGUACUUGUUGUGAAUCAUAAUAGAUCAAACACUAUUAUUAGCAUCCAUUAUUGGAAUAAACUGCCCGGAUUACAACUGCAAAAACGUCGUUCGCUAAUAAUAACGGACGAAAUUAAUUACAAAUUUACAACCAUCCGCUAUUAAAUAGUAGUGGAUGUACCUGUCGUCCGCUACUAUUAGUGCCGGAUGUCAUAAUUCCAGUUUUAAUCUCGACAGUUUAUUCUUGUAUUGGACGAUAAAGAUGGUGUUCGUCCAUUUUUGAUCCGUAGCACGUACUUGCUAUUCAUAUGUAUAUAUUCGCCCCUUAUUGAAGUGAAACUAGAUGGUUUAAAGUUCAGAAUUCAUGAUCUGAUAAACUUAUCCAAAACAAUAAUUAAAUCAUUUUUCUGAAUGCUACUAUAGCCACGCUAGCCAUUAAAACAUUCAAAUUCUGACGGAGUAUAUGACCGAUGUGUGUUUUCUCACCCUGAAUUUGUUUUUGCACAAUUAUAUAUUAUAUGCUUUCUUUUUGUCAUGUUUCUGGUGAACAGAUGGACAAAGAAAUUCUAGACAGGCCUACAAAGGAUCUCAAAAAACUAAAGCAGCAGAACCUGUACGUUCAAUCUUCAAAAUACCUGAAUUACUGUGUAAUAUGCUUUAGACAGUCGAAUAAAUUGUGAGAACUUGAUUUGUUCCUUGUAGGUCAGGCCCAACACAGCAAACUUGCAGAGGAGGGCUAGUGGAAGCACUAAAGAAAAUUCAAGACAGCUGGUUACUUAUGGAAGCUGUCAAAGCUCAGAACAAAGAGGCAGUCUGCCCAUGGCCUUCAUGCUUGCCCUUCACAACGGGGGGAAAGAUGGUAAAAACGACUCUUCAGGCAAUAGUUCAAUGUUGCAUUUCCUGCAGCAAAUUGGACGGAGAUCACUUGAUACUGGGAAUAUGGACAGAAGCAGCAGCUUCAACAAACACCGUACUUCAACUAGCCAGUUCCCAACCUUUUCUCAUUUUCAUAUUAAUGAAAUUUCAAAAGGGGUACAAAAUUUAAACCAGAUUCUAAGAGCCUGCUCAAAUGGCCUUAACUUUGAUAAAUAUUCGAUAGAAGUUGGGAAGGAACUGUUGAAAGGGGCUGUGGAUUUGGAAGAGUCCUUGAAAAUGCUUGUGAAUUUGCAAGAAGCUUCAGAAUACAUGAUCAAGCCUCAGAGGAAAAACCGGAUCACUUUACUGGAGGAGGACGAGGCUGAUGAUGCCAACAAUGUGACGAUGGCUGAACACAAACAACUUGACCUGCCAAGAUUCUCCUUUGAUAAGCGCUCAAGGAAUUCUCAUGGCAAUAAAGAGGUUACAAAGACUGAUCUAAAGCAGAGAUUGAUGGCACUGACAUAUCAUGACAAGACUCCUAGCUUCCACAGCCAACAAACUCUGACUGAUUCAAAUUCAGAAACUCAUUGGCAGCCUGCUAGUUGGGGUCCUGAACCAAAGAGUCACUCAAAUUCAUCACAAGCUAGACCAGAAAAGGGGAGAAUGUCAAGUGUUAUUGCAAAACUUAUGGGGCUGGAAGUUCUUCCAGAAAGAGUAGAUCCACAAAUCAGACAAAAAGAAGCAGGCCAGAAACAAAGAGAAGGAAUAGUCUUUAAGACCACGUAUACAACAACCAAGAAUGCUGAAGCAAAGACUCGACAGACUGAGAGGCUUGCACCUCUAAGUAACAAUAAUAAUGCUUUGAAACAAGACCACAAGGAACUACAAAC